This 175-nucleotide ribosomal RNA is filed under the name uncultured eukaryote. RNAcentral describes it as "partial 18S ribosomal RNA". It matches the Rfam family "Eukaryotic small subunit ribosomal RNA", at positions 1299 to 1458 of the family's 1831-position model. The record is from RNAcentral.
UGGUGGUUUGAACUGUCUGGUCAAUUCCGAUAACGAACGAGACCUUAACCUGCUAAAUAGUCACGUUGACCACCGUGUCGACGCUCACUCCUGCCACUGCCGCAAGGUGGUGGUGGGUUGACUUCUUAGAGGGACUAUUGGCGUUUCUAGCCAAUGGAAGUUUGAGGCAAUAACA